GGUAGCGUGGCCGAGUGGUCUAAGGCGCUGGUUUUAGGCACCAGUCUCUGAGGGGCGUGGGUUCGAAUCCCACCGCUGCCA
RNAcentral lists this transfer RNA (81 nucleotides) under Caerostris extrusa. Its description in RNAcentral is "tRNA-Leu". It matches the Rfam family "tRNA". From Rfam's summary of the family: Transfer RNA (tRNA) molecules are approximately 80 nucleotides in length. Their secondary structure includes four short double-helical elements and three loops (D, anti-codon, and T loops). Further hydrogen bonds mediate the characteristic L-shaped molecular structure. tRNAs have two regions of fundamental functional importance: the anti-codon, which is responsible for specific mRNA codon recognition, and the 3' end, to which the tRNAs corresponding amino acid is attached (by aminoacyl-tRNA synthetases). tRNAs cope with the degeneracy of the genetic code in two manners: having more than one tRNA (with a specific anti-codon) for a particular amino acid; and 'wobble' base-pairing, i.e. permitting non-standard base-pairing at the 3rd anti-codon position. Lineage: Eukaryota; Metazoa; Arthropoda; Arachnida; Araneae; Araneidae. The record is from RNAcentral.